Molecule: non-coding RNA, 52 nt
Organism: Aureimonas ureilytica
Lineage: Bacteria; Pseudomonadati; Pseudomonadota; Alphaproteobacteria; Hyphomicrobiales; Aurantimonadaceae
Source: Rfam
GAGCGGGACACACCUCCCCAACGAGGUGCUUCUAUCUGUAAGGGUAGCUUCA